Molecule: small RNA, 87 nt
Filed under: Escherichia coli
Lineage: Bacteria; Pseudomonadati; Pseudomonadota; Gammaproteobacteria; Enterobacterales; Enterobacteriaceae
Description: partial RtT sRNA
Rfam family: RtT RNA
About the family: This family represents a bacterial cis-regulatory element known as RtT RNA.
Source: RNAcentral
AUUCGAGCGAAAGCGAGAGAACGUUGCCACAGGCAACGGCCCGAAGGGUGAGGAGCGAAGCGACGAAUAAUCCUUCCCCCACCACCA